CAGUAGCCGCGGGAAAACGUAGGGUGCAAGCGUUAAUCGGAAUUACUGGGCGUAAAGCGUGCGCAGGCGGUUUGUUAAGACAGAUGUGAAAUCCCCGGGCUCAACCUGGGAACUGCAUUUGUGACUGGCAAGCUAGAGUGUGGCAGAGGGGGGUGGAAUUCCGCGUGUAGCAGUGAAAUGCGUAGAUAUGCGGAGGAACACCGAUGGCGAAGGCAGCCCCCUGGGACAACACUGACGCUGAGGCACGAAAGCGUGGGGAGCAAACAGGAUUAGAUACCCGCGUAGUCCCUGUCUCUUAUAC
This 301-nucleotide ribosomal RNA is filed under the name uncultured bacterium. RNAcentral describes it as "partial 16S ribosomal RNA". It matches the Rfam family "Bacterial small subunit ribosomal RNA", at positions 509 to 807 of the family's 1533-position model. The record is from RNAcentral.